CAGCAGCCGCGGGAAUACGAAGGGGGCUAGCGUUGCUCGGAAUUACUGGGCGUAAAGGGCGCGUAGGCGGACAGUUCAGUCGGGGGUGAAAGCCCGGGGCUCAACCUCGGAAUUGCCUUCGAUACUGGCUGUCUUGAGUAUGAGAGAGGUGUGUGGAACUCCGAGUGUAGAGGUGAAAUUCGUAGAUAUUCGGAAGAACACCAGUGGCGAAGGCGACACACUGGCUCAUUACUGACGCUGAGGCGCGAAAGCGUGGGGAGCAAACAGGAUUAGAUACCCUGUAGUCCCUGUCUCUUAUACA
RNAcentral lists this ribosomal RNA (301 nucleotides) under uncultured bacterium. Its description in RNAcentral is "partial 16S ribosomal RNA". It matches the Rfam family "Bacterial small subunit ribosomal RNA", at positions 509 to 808 of the family's 1533-position model. The record is from RNAcentral.